RNAcentral lists this ribosomal RNA (468 nucleotides) under uncultured bacterium. Its description in RNAcentral is "partial 16S ribosomal RNA". It matches the Rfam family "Bacterial small subunit ribosomal RNA", at positions 28 to 507 of the family's 1533-position model. The record is from RNAcentral.
GACGAACGCUGGCGGCGUGCUUAACACAUGCAAGUCGAACGGAAAGGCCCUGCUUUUGUGGGGUGCUCGAGUGGCGAACGGGUGAGUAAAACGUGAGUAACCUGCCCUUGACUUUGGGAUAACUUCAGGAAACUGGGGCUAAUACCGGAUAGGAGCUCCUGCUGCAUGGUGGGGGUUGGAAAGUUUCGGCGGUUGGGGAUGGACUCGCGGCUUAUCAGCUUGUUGGUGGGGUAGUGGCUUACCCAGGCUUUGACGGGUAGCCGGCCUGAGAGGGUGACCGGCCACAUUGGGACUGAGAUACGGCCCAGACUCCUACGGGAGGCAGCAGUGGGGAAUAUUGCACAAUGGGCGGAAGCCUGAUGCAGCAACGCCGCGUGCGGGAUGACGGCCUUCGGGUUGUAAACCGCUUUCGCCUGUGACGAAGCGUGAGUGACGGUAAUGGGUAAAGAAGCACCGGCUAACUACGUG